UUUGCAGCUUUAGAUUGUGGUCAGAGACUGUUACAAAAUCUUUUAUGUUCUAUGAUGGGUCAUGUGCAUCGAAAGCAUGGUGGUUCAGUUUAUGAAUAUAUAAAAGGGCAAUUUUUUGAUUAAUGUCAGCUUUGAGUUUAGAAGGUAUCCCAGACAUCUUAGUUGCCCUUAAUUAUUUUUGGAGAUAUUUUUCUCAGCCAUUAAUAAAGCAAU
Unclassified non-coding RNA from Cercocebus atys (sooty mangabey), 213 nucleotides. Lineage: Eukaryota; Metazoa; Chordata; Mammalia; Primates; Cercopithecidae. The record is from Ensembl.